Molecule: non-coding RNA, 1450 nt
Organism: Vicugna pacos (alpaca)
Lineage: Eukaryota; Metazoa; Chordata; Mammalia; Artiodactyla; Camelidae
Source: RefSeq, a predicted model, not a curated record
ACGCGCAUUCCACCGAGGACCUAGCUCUGCACAGCUGAAAGUUCUGUCUGCUGAGGCAAGCUGGGGCUUCUGCUUUGGGAUGCCGAGGGGCCAGCGUCCCUGGAACCCGGGUUCAUUAUCUUAGGACCCGCUGAGGUUUCGGCUUCAGGACAACAGGAGGCUGCAUCCAUGCUGACAGGAGCUGGGUUUCUUCACAAUCUGCCCGGGGAGGCACCGCCAGGAGGAAAAGAUUCAUCAUCAAAAUGAUCUUGACAGCUUAUGCUUUUCUCUGUGAUCAGCAUCAGGCUCAACUUCUCUGGAGGUUUUAUGAGAGAAGAUCCUUACCCAGAAUCCGACUGGCUUCACUGCGGCUACUUUCUGGAGUCUGAGACCCCAGCUCUGUCUUAGCAUAUGAGCUCAGCUGGCACAAGAGUGUUUCACCCACAGGCCCUGGACUGGUCUUCUUCAUUUGAGCAUGAAGUGCCAGGGCAUUCCUACGGGCAUGUUCAGCACAGAAGGACACCCUAAGGAAACAAAACAUUAACAUUUUAUACUCUGGUUCCUUCUUGAAAGAGUUCAUUCCUUUUUCACAGACACUGAUCUUUAGAUCAUUUUCAGGAAAUUAAAAUGACUAUUAUCUUCAUUUAUAAAUUUAAAACGCCAGUGAGGCAGAAUAAUUUAAUUGGCCCAAGGUCAACUCAUUUGAUAUUACUAAAGGGAAAUGCAGGUAGCAGAAUCUAGUGCUCUACCAUCAAACAAAACAUACCAAGUAUAAAAAUGCUGACAUCAUCUCACAACAAAUCAAGGAGAUCCACUUUCAUCUCUCAAAACUGGUUCUGGAAGGCAACUAUACACUUCAAUAUCAAUCCAUUGUAGGUAAUAAGAUGUGAGACACAAUUUUAAAACCAGAAGAUAUAUGCAGAAUUUAUCUAGCCAAAUUAUGUUUCUGCAUGGAUACCUUUGCAUAAAUGAUGAAAGCUAUCAAGCUUUUCCCAGAAGAAUGAUACACAUAUAUACAAUUUUGCAUUAUUACUUAAGGUUCAAAGACAGCCAAAAGAGCCGUGGAUCCCAGGGUUAAGAAUAGUCUAGAAUAUCCUUUACUUUACAGAUAAGCAGAAAGAUCCAGAGAUUAACUGGUCCAACUGGACGUGGUCUCCUUCCAAUUUUCACCGUUUUUUUUUUCCAGUUUUCACCAUGUUAAAAAAUUUCCCAAAGAUAGACCCAUAGCGUCAAUUUUACAAGCACAUGACCUAAAAACUCGAAACUCAGCAGCUAUUCCCAAACCCACAUCAUACCACAUCCUCCUCUCACUUAAAAGCUAAAACUACAAACGACACAGAUAUCUAUACAUAUAUACCCAUCUUUCUUCUCAGGCUUUGGGGCAGCACUGGGACAUCUUUUUCCAUUCUUCGUCGAUAUAUAACUGCACUGCUUGAAAGGUGCAUUCUUGUCUUCAAGGAUAUGCUUAAUG